AAUAAUGACCAAAAUAAAUCCAUUCGCCAACCUAAAAAGUCGUCGGAAACAGACCAUCUUUCACCUACAAAGCUUCUUCAUAACCAAUACUCCACCAUUGUACCACCAAUCAAUCAUAAAAAUAAAAAAGAACCGGCCAUAAAAAAUGACUACCUAAAUUACCAACAGCACCCAAAACAAUCUAUAAUUUUGCUACAGGAAAACGAACCGAAAAUAGGUUUCACCGUUUCUAUUUCUUUUCUUUGCCAAGGCUAUCUUCCAAAGUAAGGGAAUGGGGAUGUGAGAAAAAUAUUCCACAAGAAUUGCUGCUAAUUAUGUAGAGGUUUUGGAUAUGUGUGGAUGCAGAUAUGAAGAGAAGUGUUGUGUUGUUGGGGGUGUUAGGUUAAAAUGGGGGAAAAGGAGUAACGCGGAGAAGGGAGGGAGAUAGAGAAAAAUUAGGGGGGGAGAGGGGAGGGGUUGGAGUCAGG
This 467-nucleotide long non-coding RNA is filed under the name Nicotiana benthamiana. RNAcentral's name for it is "long non-coding RNA (NBEN_LNC038441)". Lineage: Eukaryota; Viridiplantae; Streptophyta; Magnoliopsida; Solanales; Solanaceae. The record is from RNAcentral.